AUGUGUGUGUGCAUGUGUGUGUGUUGGGGUGUGUGUGCAUGUGUGUGUCUGUGUGCAUGUUUACUAAUUAGUAUCAAUGUAGGAAACCUUCAGGUCAGAGGUCAUGCUGAUGUUUCCAGCUUAGAGCAGACAGACAGGUCCAGCUGAUCUCUACCUGCUUUGUGUGAGUGUCCUCGGUCUUUCUCACUCUGUGUUUUUAACAGGAUAGAGAAGAAAAGGAGAGGUUGAUGUGUCGUGUUUUGUGGAGGAUGAUGAUAACAUCUCUAUUCAGACAAUAUUUAUAGCUGAGAAACAGAAACUCUUUCUGGACUCACUUCACCCUGAUGGUUUUGGUGAUGAUCUCUACAGAACAAUAUUUAGGUUGAUGCUACAGAAAUGAAAAGUUGCUCUGACCUUGUUCAAGGACAAGUGUGUUCUUUGGAUAGACUGUCUAACAGUAGCCUGUUAGGUUCUCAGGCUGAAAGGUUCAACAUGGAACCAUGUUAACAGAUUUAAAGGUUCAACAUAGAGCCACAUCUCAGAAUACUUUAUUUAUUUAUCUAUUUUGACUGGCAAACAUUUGAUUUGUGUGUUAUUUGUAUUCUCUGCAGUACCAGGAGAAUCUUUGACCCUGUCUGGAGAACUGGAGGAGACCUUCAGUUCUUUUCUCAGCAGAUGUCAGGCAGCUGCUGCAGCAUUUCAUGCUGAUGUCUCCCCGGUGCUUACAGCUGUGGAGGGUCUCUGGUGUUCCAGCAGGAGUCGGUGCUCACCUCAUCAUCUCAGCUGUUCAGCAUUGAAGCUCUGCAGCUUCCAGUGUUCAUCGACAGAUCGUUGUCUACCUUUA
Molecule: long non-coding RNA, 823 nt
Organism: Oryzias melastigma (Indian medaka)
Lineage: Eukaryota; Metazoa; Chordata; Actinopteri; Beloniformes; Adrianichthyidae
Exons: 3
Source: RefSeq, a predicted model, not a curated record